RNAcentral lists this ribosomal RNA (503 nucleotides) under uncultured bacterium. RNAcentral describes it as "bacterial SSU rRNA". It matches the Rfam family "Bacterial small subunit ribosomal RNA", at positions 15 to 518 of the family's 1533-position model. The record is from RNAcentral.
GAUUCUGGCUCAGGAUGAACGCUGGCGGCGUGCCUAACACAUGCAAGUCGAACGAAGCACUUGUUACGAUCCCUUCGGGGUGACGACUUGUGACUGAGUGGCGGACGGGUGAGUAACGCGUGGGAAACCUGCCCUAUACCGGGGGAUAACAGUUGGAAACGACUGCUAAUACCGCAUAAGCGCACGAGAUGGCAUCAUCUAGUGUGAAAAACUCCGGUGGUAUAGGAUGGUCCCGCGUCUGAUUAGCUAGUUGGUGAGGUAACGGCCCACCAAGGCGACGAUCAGUAGCCGACCUGAGAGGGUGACCGGCCACAUUGAGACUGAGACACGGCCCAAACUCCUACGGGAGGCAGCAGUGGGGAAUAUUGCACAAUGGGCGAAAGCCUGAUGCAAGCGACGCCGCGUGAGCGAUGAAGUAUUUCGGUAUGUAAAGCUCUAUCAGCAGGGAAGAAAAUGACGGUACCUGACUAAGAAGCCCCGGCUAACUACGUGCCAGCCGCGGC